This 21-nucleotide non-coding RNA is filed under the name Caenorhabditis elegans. Lineage: Eukaryota; Metazoa; Nematoda; Chromadorea; Rhabditida; Rhabditidae. The record is from RNAcentral.
UAUAAUCAUCUUCAAUUUUCC